AAAAAAAUAAAUUCUAACUAUCCGUGUCCAAUAUUUGAUUAUCUAUCUUAUGUUAAUCUUUUUAUAAUUAGUAUUUUAAUUGUUAUUAGAUGAUAAAACAUAAUUAAUAUUUUAUGCGUGACUUAUCUUUUUAUUUUUUUAAUGAUUUUUUCAAAUAAAACGGACGGUCAAACGUUGGACAUAGAAACUAAAGGUUUGUCUUUUU
This is a non-coding RNA of Oryza glaberrima (African rice), 205 nucleotides long. The record is from Rfam. Lineage: Eukaryota; Viridiplantae; Streptophyta; Magnoliopsida; Poales; Poaceae.